Coffea arabica (coffee) is the source of this 1831-nucleotide non-coding RNA. The record is from RefSeq and is a predicted model, not a curated record. NCBI's taxonomy places the organism in Eukaryota, Viridiplantae, Streptophyta, Magnoliopsida, Gentianales, Rubiaceae.
AAUUAUUGGUACGAGUAUUUUUUACGUUUUUUUUUAUAGGAUCUAUCCAUCUUACGAUCUCGUCUGCAGACACAAAAACAAGAUCUUAAAUAGGAUCCCACAAAUUUGAAAACUUGAUAGAUAUUAGAAACUGAGGACUUGGACCACUAUUUCUUGCAUUCAUCACCAUCAAUCCCAAUUCAUCCGCCAUGAGCUAGAUUUCCUCAAUCCCUAAUCAUCAGCUCCAUCUUUCACAAAAGAAUCCCCUUUUUCAAUCCAUCUGCCAUUAUCCUAUUACUGUCGGCCAAAAAAAAAAUAAUAAUAAUAAAAGAACCGACGGGAAACAGAGGAGGAGCCGCUGCCACUGCUGGGUCGUCGGAGUUUGUCCAUACCACCACGGUUAUCAAGUCGUCAUUUAAAAUGCACUGCGAUUCUAAGUCCCAAGAGUAUGGCCCUCCCUGGAUUAUGUUUUUGCAGCUCCAUCUACAUUCAUCUUAAUCCAGCCUUCCUGUGGUUUGUCCCAGCUGAUGUAUUUCGGCUGGCUCCUGUUCUCCGUGCGAGUAUUGGUAAGCUCCUGAGCCUCUACUGCUUGCUGAAUUAGCUGCUCCGGACGGGCUUUGAGCUUUCUGUCCAGCCUCUGAUGAACCUUCUCAUUCCUCGCUGUCCAUGCCCAGUGCACUACCUCUUGGGAGAGCACGGGCCAGAGUACGUUCUUGAUCCUUCCUAUGUCACUUUGCUUAACGUUCCAAUCCACCCAUUGAAUCAGGGACUUUGAUUUGAAGUCUCUCCAUCUUUCCCUUGAGAGUUGAGACAAGUCCUCUCCGAAUUUUGUUGACCAAUCACAGUCUCUCAAUGCAUGCAGUGCUGUUUCAUUUCUUCUCCACAUACUUCACAUUUUCUGGAAGGAUGCAGAUGUCUGUAAUGUCUGUAAUGUUUUUCUGCAUUAGUGAGCAAUCGUCCAUGCCUCACUCUCAACAGCAGCAACUUCCAUCUACUAGGGCCUUUAAAGGCUGAUGAUGUGGUGAAAUUCCCAUUUGCCUCUGGACUCCAAGUGAUUGUGUCUGGGUUAUCCAGCUCCUUGUAGACUGCUGUUGCUCUAGUCAGACUCUGUGUAUUCUGGUGCAGAUAUUUGCUCAGGGUACUCCAGACCCAACCCAAUCUGAGUUAGUCCGAUACUUCCCACUUUUUUGGUUAACUCUGACCCUUGUACUUUGCUUCUCGUGUUUUGUCCCCGUGAUCAUAUUUAACCUCUUUGCAAGCCUUUUUUUUUUACAGGUUUUUUUCUGCAAUGGCGCUUGAAUUGACUUGGUUGGUUACAUAAUUAUUCGUCUUCAUCCCAAUGGGAGCUCGCUGCUCUAAAUUAGGCUUUUGCUGGUGGCUUUCCAACCUCAAAUCCAACGUCCCUUAUUCCUCUGAUCUUGAGAAAUGUGGAGAAAAUGAAGGAUGAAACUGCCAGCAUUUAAAGAAUGCAGUUUAGAUGAGUUGAAGGUGGCAACUUCAGGAUUCUCAGUUGAAAACUUUUUAUCAGAACAUGUAGAGAAAGCUCCAAAUGUUGUCUACAAUUGGCAGCUUGAAGAUGAUGGCUCUUGGAUUGCUGUCAAACGUUUCAAUAAAUCUGCUUGGCCGGAUUCUCGGCAAAUUCCUGAUUAUUAUUACUUCUUUUCAGCAAGUCCCCAGCUAUAGUGUUUCACAAAUGUGAUAUUAUCUUAUUUAUGUACGUGCUUUGAUAUCAGCUGUACUACUUAGUUAGCCAUGAGUAUGCAAUUUGGAGGUUGAUAAGUCAGGAAACUUAUGAAGUAUCUUGUUUCUACCAAUAAUAUAAAGUCAAUUUCAUGUUUUUUUUUCUUGCUCA